UACGGAGGGUGCGAGCGUUGUCCGGAAUCACUGGGCGUAAAGGGCGCGUAGGCGGCCGUGUAAGUCACUUGUGAAAUCCCGGGGCUCAACUCCGGGGCUGCAGGUGAGACUGCGUAGCUAGAGCACGGUAGAGGCGAGUGGAAUUCCCGGUGUAGCGGUGGAAUGCGUAGAUAUCGGGAAGAACACCGGUGGCGAAGGCGGCUCGCUGGGCCGUUGCUGACGCUGAGGCGCGAAAGCGUGGGGAGCAAACAGG
Molecule: ribosomal RNA, 253 nt
Filed under: uncultured bacterium
Lineage: Bacteria
Description: partial 16S ribosomal RNA
Rfam family: Bacterial small subunit ribosomal RNA
Source: RNAcentral